Molecule: transfer RNA, 129 nt
Filed under: Thermoplasmatales archaeon
Lineage: Archaea; Methanobacteriati; Thermoplasmatota; Thermoplasmata; Thermoplasmatales
Also listed under: 1 other name
Description: tRNA-Ala
Rfam family: tRNA (bases 1-56)
Source: RNAcentral
GGGCCCAUAGAUCAGUGGAAGAUCGCCGUCUUCGCAAGGCGGAGGCCGUGGGUUCAAAAAGGUGUAAGUAGUAAGGUGUAAGUAAACAUCAUUUAAACCUUUUAAACCUUGAAAUUCCCACUGGGUCCA